AUCGAACCUGCCUCAUACUCGGGGAUAGCCUUGCGAAAGUAAGAUUAAUACCCGGCGGUCUCGGAUGGCCGCAUGACUGUCCGAGUGAAGAUUUAUCGGUAUGAGAUGGCGAUGCGUCCCAUUAGCUAGUUGGUGAGGUAAUGGCUCACCAAGGCAUCGAUGGGUAGGGGUUCUGAGAGGAAGGUCCCCCACAUUGGAACUGAGACACGGUCCAAACUCCUACGGGAGGCAGCAGUGAGGAAUAUUGGUCAAUGGACGAAAGUCUGAACCAGCCAAGUAGCGUGCAGGAAGACGGCCCUCUGGGUUGUAAACUGCUUUUAGUUGGGAAUAAAAAGAGGGACGUGUCCCUUAUUGUAUGUACCAUCAGAAAAAGGACCGGCUAAUUCCGUGCCAGCAGCCGCGGUAAUACGGAAGGUCCAGGCGUUAUCCGGAUUUAUUGGGUUUAAAGGGAGCGCAGGCGGCGGCGUAAGUCAGUUGUGAAAUCGUGCGGCUUAACCGUGCAAUUGCAGUUGAUACUGCGUCGCUUGAGUGCACACAGGGAUGUUGGAAUUCAUGGUGUAGCGGUGAAAUGCUUAGAUAUCAUGAAGAACUCCGAUCGCGAAGGCAUAUGUCCGGAGUGCAACUGACGCUGAGGCUCGAAAGUGUGGGUAUCAAACAGGAUUAGAUACCCUGGUAGUCCACACAGUAAACGAUGAAUACUCGCGGUUGGUUCGUUAGAGUCAGCCGCCAAGCGAAAGCGUUAAGUAUUCCACCUGGGGAGUAC
Molecule: ribosomal RNA, 763 nt
Filed under: uncultured bacterium
Lineage: Bacteria
Description: bacterial SSU rRNA
Rfam family: Bacterial small subunit ribosomal RNA
Source: RNAcentral